Molecule: ribosomal RNA, 457 nt
Filed under: uncultured bacterium
Lineage: Bacteria
Description: bacterial SSU rRNA
Rfam family: Bacterial small subunit ribosomal RNA
Source: RNAcentral
UACGGGAGGCAGCAGUGGGGAAUAUUGCACAAUGGGCGCAAGCCUGAUGCAGCCAUGCCGCGUGUAUGAAGAAGGCCUUCGGGUUGUAAAGUACUUUCAGUCGUGAGGAAGGUGUUAAGGUUAAUAACCUUAGCAAUUGACGUUAGCGACAGAAGAAGCACCGGCUAACUCCGUGCCAGCAGCCGCGGUAAUACGGAGGGUGCGAGCGUUAAUCGGAAUUACUGGGCGUAAAGGGCACGCAGGCGGUUAAUUAAGUUGGAUGUGAAAAUCCCCGGGCUUAACCUGGGAAUGGCAUUCAAGACUGGUUAGCUAGAGUCUUGUAGAGGGGGUAGAAUUCCAUGUGUAGCGGUGAAAUGCGUAGAGAUGUGGAGGAAUACCGGUGGCGAAAGGCGGCCCCUGGACAAAGACUGACGCUCAUGUGCGAAAAGCGUGGGGAGCAAAACAGGGAUUAGAUACC